This 492-nucleotide ribosomal RNA is filed under the name uncultured bacterium. RNAcentral's name for it is "partial 16S ribosomal RNA". It matches the Rfam family "Bacterial small subunit ribosomal RNA", at positions 29 to 507 of the family's 1533-position model. The record is from RNAcentral.
AGUGAACGCUGGCGGUAGGCCUAACACAUGCAAGUCGAACGGCAGCACAGUAAGAGCUUGCUCUUACGGGUGGCGAGUGGCGGACGGGUGAGGAAUACAUCGGAAUCUACUUUUUCGUGGGGGAUAACGUAGGGAAACUUACGCUAAUACCGCAUACGACCUACGGGUGAAAGCAGGGGAUCUUCGGACCCUGCGCGAUUGAAUGAGCCGAUGUCGGAUUAGCUAGUUGGCGGGGUAAAGGCCCACCAAGGCGACGAUCCGUAGCUGGUCUGAGAGGAUGAUCCGCCACACUGGCACUGAGACACGGUCCAGACUCCUACGGGAGGCAGCAGUGGGGAAUAUUGGACAAUGGGCGCAAGCCUGAUCCAGCCAUACCGCGUGGGUGGAGAAGGCCUUCGGGUUGUAAAGCCCUUUUGUUGGGAAAGAAAAGCAGCAGGUUAAUACCCCGCUGUUCUGACGGUACCCAAAGAAUAAGCACCGGCUAACUUCGUG